This is a non-coding RNA of Brachypodium distachyon (stiff brome), 115 nucleotides long. The record is from Rfam. Lineage: Eukaryota; Viridiplantae; Streptophyta; Magnoliopsida; Poales; Poaceae.
UUUGUACUCCCUCCGUCCCAUAUUAAGUGACAAAAUACUACAUGUAUCUAGAUGCACUUUACAUACAUAUUUAGACACAUUUGAGUCACUUAAUAUGGGACGGAGGGAGUACUAA